This is a small nucleolar RNA of Saimiri boliviensis boliviensis (Bolivian squirrel monkey), 106 nucleotides long. RefSeq annotates it as small nucleolar RNA U13. NCBI's taxonomy places the organism in Eukaryota, Metazoa, Chordata, Mammalia, Primates, Cebidae. The record is from RefSeq and is a predicted model, not a curated record.
AUCCUUUUGUGCUUCGUAAGCAUGAUGAUUGCAUUUACACUCAUUUGUAAGAUGUGCCGUCCUCAAACCUUGUUAUGAACGAUGUUGGUACAUUACCUGUCUGAUG